This 253-nucleotide ribosomal RNA is filed under the name uncultured bacterium. Its description in RNAcentral is "partial 16S ribosomal RNA". It matches the Rfam family "Bacterial small subunit ribosomal RNA", at positions 524 to 776 of the family's 1533-position model. The record is from RNAcentral.
UACGUAGGGUGCAAGCGUUAAUCGGAAUUACUGGGCGUAAAGCGUGCGCAGGCGGUUGUGCAAGACAGAUGUGAAAUCCCCGGGCUCAACCUGGGAAUGGCAUUUGUGACUGCACGGCUAGAGUGUGUCAGAGGGGGGUAGAAUUCCACGUGUAGCAGUGAAAUGCGUAGAUAUGUGGAGGAAUACCGAUGGCGAAGGCAGGUCUCUGGGCUGACACUGACGCUCAUGCACGAAAGCGUGGGGAGCAAACAGG